Molecule: ribosomal RNA, 253 nt
Filed under: uncultured bacterium
Lineage: Bacteria
Description: partial 16S ribosomal RNA
Rfam family: Bacterial small subunit ribosomal RNA
Source: RNAcentral
UACGUAGGAUGCGAGCGUUAAUCGGAAUUACUGGGCGUAAAGCGUGCGCAGGCGGUUAUAUAAGACAGUUGUGAAAUCCCCGGGCUCAACCUGGGAAUUGCAUCUGUGACUGUAUAGCUAGAGUACGGUAGAGGGGGAUGGAAUUCCGCGUGUAGCAGUGAAAUGCGUAGAUAUGCGGAGGAACACCGAUGGCGAAGGCAAUCCCCUGGACCUGUACUGACGCUCAUGCACGAAAGCGUGGGGAGCAAACAGG